AUUCAACCCUAAAACACCACAUGGCCGGCUAUCCCCAUUCAAAACCUAAUCCAUCACUUUUUCUACCUUUUUCACCAUUUCUUCCUUUUUAUUAGCCAAUUAAUUCCAUAACCACAAAAAUAUUUCCUUUUAUGUUUAAUUAGCCAAUUCACUUUUUCUACCUUUUUCACCAUUUCUUCCUUUUUAUUAGCCAAUUAAUUCCAUAACCACAAAAAUAUUUCCUUUUAUGUUUAAUUAGCCAAUUAAUUGGCUAAUUAAACCAAAAUAAAACCUAAACCAACCUAGCCCUAUAAAUAGGCUCAUAUUUUCACCAAAUAUUCAUUCCAACACUUUGGCAAAAAUCCCAAAAUUCUCUAAACACUCUUAUUCUCUAAACACUCUUUCUUUCUAAAUUCUAACUUUGGCAUCGGAGGUUCUUCGGCCAAAGCCCCCCCAUUCAUCGUGGGCGCAUGAGGCUCUUGGCCUUAACUUAAGGUGUUAAUUGUUUUGUAGGUGCAAAAUUGUCCAAGAUCAAGGAGGAAGAAAUUUGCAUCCACAAUUAUUGUGUUAAAC
This 552-nucleotide long non-coding RNA is filed under the name Malus domestica (apple). RNAcentral describes it as "long non-coding RNA (MDOM_LNC014791)". The record is from RNAcentral. Lineage: Eukaryota; Viridiplantae; Streptophyta; Magnoliopsida; Rosales; Rosaceae.